This 264-nucleotide ribosomal RNA is filed under the name uncultured bacterium. RNAcentral's name for it is "partial 16S ribosomal RNA". It matches the Rfam family "Bacterial small subunit ribosomal RNA", at positions 793 to 1055 of the family's 1533-position model. The record is from RNAcentral.
GUCCACGCCCUAAACGAUGCAUAUUUGGUGUGGGCAGUUCAUUCUGUCCGUGCCGGAGCUAACGCGUUAAAUAUGCCGCCUGGGGAGUACAGUCGCAAGGCUGAAACUCAAAGGAAUUGACGGGGGCCCGCACAAGCGGUGGAGCAUGUGGUUCAAUUCGACGCAACGCGAAGAACCUUACCUGGGCUCGAACGGCUUCUCAACGCCGGUAGAAAUAUCGGUACCCCGCAAGGGGGUGGAGUCGAGGUGCUGCAUGGCUGUCGU